RNAcentral lists this ribosomal RNA (668 nucleotides) under Trichoderma longibrachiatum. RNAcentral's name for it is "eukaryotic LSU rRNA". The stretch from base 282 to 435 matches the Rfam family "5.8S ribosomal RNA". Lineage: Eukaryota; Fungi; Ascomycota; Sordariomycetes; Hypocreales; Hypocreaceae. The record is from RNAcentral.
GGAAAGGUAAAAAAACGUAACAAGGUCUCCGUUGGUGAACCAGCGGAGGGAUCAUUACCGAGUUUACAACUCCCAAACCCCAAUGUGAACGUUACCAAUCUGUUGCCUCGGCGGGAUUCUCUUGCCCCGGGCGCGUCGCAGCCCCGGAUCCCAUGGCGCCCGCCGGAGGACCAACUCCAAACUCUUUUUUUCUCUCCGUCGCGGCUCCCGUCGCGGCUCUGUUUUAUUUUUGCUCUGAGCCUUUCUCGGCGACCCUAGCGGGCGUCUCGAAAAUGAAUCAAAACUUUCAACAACGGAUCUCUUGGUUCUGGCAUCGAUGAAGAACGCAGCGAAAUGCGAUAAGUAAUGUGAAUUGCAGAAUUCAGUGAAUCAUCGAAUCUUUGAACGCACAUUGCGCCCGCCAGUAUUCUGGCGGGCAUGCCUGUCCGAGCGUCAUUUCAACCCUCGAACCCCUCCGGGGGGUCGGCGUUGGGGAUCGGCCCCUCACCGGGCCGCCCCCGAAAUACAGUGGCGGUCUCGCCGCAGCCUCUCCUGCGCAGUAGUUUGCACACUCGCACCAGGGGGCGCGGCGCGGCCACAGCCGUAAAACACCCCAAACUUCUGAAAUGUUGACCUCGGAUCAGGUAGGAAUACCCGCUGAACUUAAGCAUAUCAAAAGGCCGGAAGGA